UGGCGGACGGGUGAGUAACACGUGGGUAACCUGCCUAAGAGAAGGGGAUAACACUUGGAAACAGGUGCUAAUACCGUAUAUCUCUAAGGAUCGCAUGAUCCUUAGAUGAAAGAUGGUUCUGCUAUCGCUUUUAGAUGGACCCGCGGCGUAUUAACUAGUUGGUGGGGUAACGGCCUACCAAGGUGAUGAUACGUAGCCGAACUGAGAGGUUGAUCGGCCACAUUGGGACUGAGACACGGCCCAAACUCCUACGGGAGGCAGCAGUAGGGAAUCUUCCACAAUGGACGCAAGUCUGAUGGAGCAACGCCGCGUGAGUGAAGAAGGUCUUCGGAUCGUAAAACUCUGUUGUUAGAGAAGAACACGAGUGAGAGUAACUGUUCAUUCGAUGACGGUAUCUAACCAGCAAGUCACGGCUAACUACGUGCCAGCAGCCGCGGUAAUACGUAGGUGGCAAGCGUUGUCCGGAUUUAUUGGGCGUAAA
Molecule: ribosomal RNA, 481 nt
Filed under: uncultured bacterium
Lineage: Bacteria
Description: bacterial SSU rRNA
Rfam family: Bacterial small subunit ribosomal RNA
Source: RNAcentral